Molecule: long non-coding RNA, 709 nt
Organism: Cyprinus carpio (common carp)
Lineage: Eukaryota; Metazoa; Chordata; Actinopteri; Cypriniformes; Cyprinidae
Source: RefSeq, a predicted model, not a curated record
AAAUAUAGAAAGACGAGAAGAGAGGCGAACGACGGGCCAAACGCACACAAACACGCGCGCUGUUCUGGUCAACAAUAACCUCUUGUAUUUCCAUCUCCCUCCUCCCCCCCACUCAAGCCAAAAAUCAUUGCCUUUUUCAUUAUCCAUGAAUGUUGACUCUGAUAAGGGGAUCCUGACCAUGAGAGCAUCUCUCUGUCUCGGUCUCCGGCGCUCUUUGCAGUCCUUUGUUUUAUCUCAGGUGAAUUGUAAUCAUGUGAUCAAACGAACACCCCCCUUCCAUUACCCUCUUAAAUGAAAAAAUGAGGAACAAAAAGCAGUUCUGUGUAUAUAAAAAAAGAAAAGAAAAGAGAAAAGACGCGCGUCUCCCUUUGGAGAGUCUUUUCUCCGUGUGGCUUCAAACGUACACAUAUAGAGGAAAAGCGCGGCGCCGUGUCUCCGUCUCUCGGCGGUACAGAUGUGCGGGGAUCACGCGGAUCUGAGGCCUGCUGCACGCUUUGAUGUGUGUGGUGUUACUGUGAUGGUAGAACCGAAGACUUCAGUAAACAAACAUGGCCAUCAGAUGAUGAUGGUGAUAUGAUGCAGAUCCAGAGAAAUGAGCCCUGAAGAUCCUGCGCUGUAAUCUGAGACGUCCGUCUGUGUGUGUGUGUGUGGGGGGGGGGAUUAAUAUGACAGCACCACACACACACACACACACACACACACACACACA